GAUGAACGCUGGCGGCGUGCCUAAUACAUGCAAGUCGAGCGAACAGAUGAGGAGCUUGCUCCUCUGACGUUAGCGGCGGACGGGUGAGUAACACGUGGAUAACCUACCUAUAAGACUGGGAUAACUUCGGGAAACCGGAGCUAAUACCGGAUAAUAUAUUGAACCGCAUGGUUCAAUAGUGAAAGACGGUUUUGCUGUCACUUAUAGAUGGAUCCGCGCCGCAUUAGCUAGUUGGUAAGGUAACGGCUUACCAAGGCAACGAUGCGUAGCCGACCUGAGAGGGGGAACGGCCACACGGGAACCGAGAACCGGCCCAGACUCCGAGGGGAGGCAGCAGUAGGAAAUCUUCCGCAAGGGGCGAAAGCUUGACGGAGCAACGCCGGGGGAGUGAUGAAGGUCUUCGGAUCGUAAAACCCUGUUAUUAGGGAAGAAAAAAUGUGUAAGUAACUAUGCCCGUCUGGCCGGGACCAAAACAGAAAGCCCCGGCGAACUCCGG
Molecule: ribosomal RNA, 496 nt
Filed under: uncultured bacterium
Lineage: Bacteria
Description: partial 16S ribosomal RNA
Rfam family: Bacterial small subunit ribosomal RNA
Source: RNAcentral